RNAcentral lists this transfer RNA (71 nucleotides) under Enterococcus faecalis. RNAcentral describes it as "partial tRNA-Ile". It matches the Rfam family "tRNA". Rfam says of the family: Transfer RNA (tRNA) molecules are approximately 80 nucleotides in length. RNAcentral also lists the same sequence under 14 other names. The record is from RNAcentral. Lineage: Bacteria; Bacillati; Bacillota; Bacilli; Lactobacillales; Enterococcaceae.
CCUAUAGCUCAGCUGGUUAGAGCGCACGCCUGAUAAGCGUGAGGUCGAUGGUUCGAGUCCAUUUAGGCCCA